GAUGAACGCUAGCGGCAGGCCUAACACAUGCAAGUCGAGGGGUAGCAGGAUUAAGCUUGCUUAAUUGCUGACGACCGGCGCACGGGUGCGUAACGCGUAUGCAACCUACCUUAUACUGGGGUAUAGCCCGGAGAAAUUCGGAUUAAUCCCCCAUAGUACUAAUGAAUCGCAUGGUUUAUUAGUUAAAGCAUUGCGGUAUAAGAUGGGCAUGCGUCCUAUUAGCUAGAUGGUGAGGUAACGGCUCACCAUGGCUACGAUAGGUAGGGGGCCUGGGAGGGUGGUCCCCCACACUGGUACUGAGACACGGACCAGACUCCUACGGGAGGCAGCGGGGAGGAAUAUUGGUCAAUGGGCGCAAGCCUGAACCAGCCAUGCCGCGUGCAGGAAGAAUGCCCUAUGGGUUGUAAACUGCUUUUAUUUGGGAAUAAACCUCUUUACGUGUAGAGAGCUGAAGGUACCAAAUGAAUAAGCACCGGCUAACUCCGUGCCAGCAGCCGCCGUAA
This 503-nucleotide ribosomal RNA is filed under the name uncultured bacterium. Its description in RNAcentral is "partial 16S ribosomal RNA". It matches the Rfam family "Bacterial small subunit ribosomal RNA", at positions 28 to 523 of the family's 1533-position model. The record is from RNAcentral.